This 346-nucleotide long non-coding RNA is filed under the name Falco tinnunculus (common kestrel). Its description in RNAcentral is "lncRNA (ENSFTIG00000006402.1)". Lineage: Eukaryota; Metazoa; Chordata; Aves; Falconiformes; Falconidae. The record is from RNAcentral.
AUACUCACACGAGCUUUCACUCCAGCUACAAAGCAGCUUGGCUAUGCUCAGUUAAUGCAGCCACAGCUGGAAGACUGGGGAACUUCAAAACUUCUGCUUUAAUCAGAGCCCAUACAAGAAGUCAGCCGAUGAGAAACAUCCAACCAGCUGCUCACCUGAUCCUGCUGUGGUGGUCAUGUUCCUCGCCUAACCUGUUAGGAACAAAGCUGUAAGGAGAGCAGAAGGUGUCAAAGUAAAACAGCUGCAUAUCUUCCAAGAAAAGCUUGUGUUUUCUGAAGGAAUUCAAGCAGAGGUGCUUUAUUAAGAGAACUAGGCAGGACAAACAUUAACAUGGCAAGCUCGGCUG